UCAUAAAGAGAGACUUAUAGCCUGACUUCCUAAUUUGAAUCAUAUGACAAGCAUAUAUAGGACAAAAUUCAUAUUUAAAUUCUUAUUCAUUACUUCCUCUUCAAAUAUCACUAGCUCUUAAAUUUCUUUCAGGAAAAUAGUUCUACACUUUGUAAUAAGGGUGGAGAUGGAUUUCAAGUGGAGAAGAGAAAGGUGAAGACCAAGUUGACAACAAGCGUUAAAUUUUUAGCUGCACUGAAUAAUUUUUUUUGGACUGGUAAAAGACAAAGGGAGUUGACUAGUUGCUGUGACACUGUGUAUAACAACUUCAAAUGAUGCGCGGCGAAGCAUUCCUCCUUCACUUGGAUCGAACCAUGUAUCAAAGGAUUUCGAAGAAGACAUGAUGUGAAGAAAAUAUGUUCUAUACAAAUAUCACAUGGGAUGGGUCUCACACUUUAGUUAUCUAAAUGUAAUUUUUCUUAUGUGUUUCGUACUUUUUGAAAAGAGACUUUACUCGGUAUUACAUGUAAUUGGAUACAUUAUACUCUAUUUUGAUUUAUGUUAUUUAGACUAAAAACUAAACAUAUCUAGUUUAUAAUGAAAGUUUUAUGAUUUACAUUUCUUGUUCUUAGAUUUAUUUUGUGAUUAUCAUUAAUUUGAGAUGUGAUUAUGCUUUAAAAAAAAUUAAAGCUCAUAAAACAAAACAGGCUAUGGUCACCGUUUUAAAAUAGGGUGACCAUAGAUAACCUAUGGUCACGGCCAAAACCGUGACCAUAGGCUCUAUGGUCACGGUUUUGAAGACGGGUGGCCAUACAGGCUAUGGUCACGGUUUUCAGUAAGGGUGACCAUAGAGGCUAUGGUCACGGCCAAAACCGUGACCAUAGAUAAGG
Arachis stenosperma is the source of this 869-nucleotide long non-coding RNA. RefSeq lists it as uncharacterized. NCBI's taxonomy places the organism in Eukaryota, Viridiplantae, Streptophyta, Magnoliopsida, Fabales, Fabaceae. The transcript has 3 exons. The record is from RefSeq and is a predicted model, not a curated record.